Molecule: ribosomal RNA, 2913 nt
Filed under: Megamonas funiformis
Lineage: Bacteria; Bacillati; Bacillota; Negativicutes; Selenomonadales; Selenomonadaceae
Description: 23S ribosomal RNA
Rfam family: Bacterial large subunit ribosomal RNA
Source: RNAcentral
AGUUAAGUGAACAAGGGCAUACGGCGGAUGCCUUGGCGCCAAGAGCCGAUGAAGGACGCGGUAAGCUGCGAAAAGGCAUGGGUAGGAGCAAGCAUCCAGUGAUCCAUGCAUAUCCGAAUGGGGCAACCCACCAUCAGUCAUGUGAUGGUACGAAAGAGGCAGACCUGGGGAACUGAAACAUCUAAGUACCCAGAGGAAAAGUAAUCAAUUGAGAUUCCCUAAGUAGCGGCGAGCGAAAGGGGAAGAGCCCAAACCAUGAAACUUCGGUUUUGUGGGGUUGAGGACCGGCAAAAAGAGGAAACUUCUUAGUCGAAUGGUUUGGAAAGGCCAUGCACAGAAGGUAAAACACCUGUAGGCGAAAAGAAGUCAAUCGGGCUGGUAUCCAGAGUACUGCGAGACACGUGAAACCUUGCAGGAAGCAGGGGGGACCACCCUCCAAGGCAAAAUACUACUUGGCGACCGAUAGCGCAUAGUACCGUGAGGGAAAGGUGAAAAGAACCCCGGGAGGGGAGUGAAAUAGAACCUGAAACCGUAUGUCUACAAGCAGUCGAAGCACCUUAAGAGUGCGACGGCGUGCCUAUUGAAGAAUGAACCGGCGAGUUACAUUAUGUUGCGAGGUUAAGUGGGAGACACGGAGCCGAAGCGAAAGCGAGUCUUAAUAGGGCGACUAGUAACAUGGUGUAGACCCGAAACCGCAGUGAUCUAUCCAUGGUCAGGUUGAAGCGCAGGUAAAAAUGCGUGGAGGACCGAACCCGUGAGUGUUGAAAAACUUUGGGAUGAACCGUGGAUAGGGGUGAAAUGCCAAUCGAACGCGGAGAUAGCUGGUACUCCCCGAAAUAGCUUUAGGGCUAGCCUCAGGGAAGAUUAUAGACGGUAGAGCACUGAUCUGGCAAGGGGGCGUAAAGCCUACCGACCCUAGUCAAACUUCGAAUGGCUAUAAUUAAGACCCUGGGAGUCAGACUGCGAGUGAUAAGACCCGUAGUCAAGAGGGAAACAGCCCAGACCGCCGACUAAGGUCCCCAAUGCUGUACUAAGUGGAAAAGGAUGUAAGACUUCAUAAACAACCAGGAUGUUGGCUUAGAAGCAGCCACCAUUAAAAGAGUGCGUAAUAGCUCACUGGUCGAGAGGCCUUGCGCCGAAGAUGUCCGGGGCUCAAGUACAGAACCGAAGUCGCGGCAGGAUUAUAUAAUUCUGGGUAGGGGAGCGUUGUAUAUCCGACUGAAGGUGUACCGGAAGGAGCGCUGGAGGAUAUACAAGAGAGAAUGCCGGUAUGAGUAGCGAAAAGAACAGUGAGAAUCUGUUCCACCGAAAGCCUAAGGUUUCCUGAGCAACGCUCGUCGACUCAGGGUAAGUCGGGACCUAAGCCGAGGCAAAAAGCAUAGGCGAUGGACAACAGGUUAAUAUUCCUGUACCGCUUCAAAUCGUUUGAGCAAUGGAGUGACACAGAAGGUAGCUUGAGCACGCGAAUGGAUGUGCGUGUCGAAGGUGGUAGGUUGCAGUAUAGGUAAAUCCGUACUGUAUAAGACCGAGAACUGAUAGAUAGACGAUACUUCGGUAAAGUCAAAUUCAAGUGAGCCAUGCUGUCGAGAAAAGCUUCUAGUGAGAGAUGAGGCGCCCGUACCGAAACCGACACAGGUAGGCGGGGAGAGAAUCCUAAGGUGCGCGGGACAACCCUCGUUAAGGAACUCGGCAAAUUGUAUCCGUAACUUAGGGAUAAGGAUAGCCGGAGGAUGUGAAGGGAUUUACUUCUGGAGCGUCAGCCGGUGGCACAAGAGAGGCCCAAGCGACUGUUUAGCACAAACACAGGUGCCUGCAAAAGAGAAAUCUGACGUAUAGGUGCUGACACCUGCCCGGUGCUGGAAGGUUAAGAGGAGGGCUUAGAGGAAACUCGAAGGCUUGAAUUGAAGCCCCAGUAAACGGCGGCCGUAACUAUAACGGUCCUAAGGUAGCGAAAUUCCUUGUCGGGUAAGUUCCGACCCGCACGAAAGGUGUAACGACUUGGGCACUGUCUCAACGAGGGACCCGGUGAAAUUGAAGUACCUGUGAAGAUGCAGGUUACCCGCGACUGGACAGAAAGACCCCAUGGAGCUUUACUGCAACCUGACAUUGAUGUUCGGUAAAUAACGUACAGGAUAGGUGGGAGACGGAGAAGUAUUGGCGUUAGCUGAUAUGGAGUCAACCUUGGGAUACCACCCUUUAUUUAUUGGACCUCUAACUGAAGAAGUAACGACUCUCAGGACAGUAUCAGGCGGGCAGUUUGACUGGGGCGGUCGCCUCCCAAAAUGUAACGGAGGCGCCCAAAGGUUCCCUCAGCGCGAACGGAAACCGCGCAAAGAGUGUAAAGGCAGAAGGGAGCUUGACUGCGAGUCAGACACGACGAGCAGGUACGAAAGUAGGGCUUAGUGAUCCGGUGGUUCCGAGUGGAAGGGCCAUCGCUCAACGGAUAAAAGCUACCCUGGGGAUAACAGGCUAAUCUCUCCCAAGAGUCCAUAUCGACGGGGAGGUUUGGCACCUCGAUGUCGGCUCAUCACAUCCUGGGGCUGGAGCAGGUCCCAAGGGUUGGGCUGUUCGCCCAUUAAAGUGGUACGUGAGCUGGGUUCAGAACGUCGUGAGACAGUUCGGUCCAUAUCCAUCGCGGGCGUAAGAGACUUGAAGGGGGCUGCUCCUAGUACGAGAGGACCGGAGUGGACGGACCAAUGGUGUACCAAUUAUCCCGCCAGGGGUACAGUUGGGUAGCUACGUCCGGAAAAGAUAAACGCUGAAAGCAUCUAAGCGUGAAACUUGCCUUAAGAUGAGGUCUCCCGAAGCGAAAGCUUGAAAGACACCUUGAAGAUGACGAGGUUGAUAGGCCAGGAGUAGAAGUUCAGUAAUGAAUGUAGCGUACUGGUACUAAUAUGUCGAGAGCUUAACUUA